AGAAAGGCUUCAUUCAACGUCCUUGCAAGACCCAUGCAAUUUCAGUAGAGGGCUAAGACUGAGAUACCUUACAGGUCCCCUCUGGGGUGUGCAAAAUUGACAAAACUUAAGCUACUGAUGAGCAAACUAGGCCAGAUGAAUUUGGCCUCUUCACAUAAUAGUGUAUGGAGUUACAGUGCUUUGGUAUGUUUUAAUAGGUGCUAAUUUUGAAAUAAAUCAACAUGCACUCCAAACGACUGUGAAUCAUUACUUCAGGAGAGUGUGACUGCUUCGACCCGCCGGCGAAAGGGUUCGUGUUCAAUCACACUUUCCAGCGAGACGGAAAUUAGAGUGCUCUCUUCGAGCUCCGCGGCACACACAAACACAUGUGCCUGCGCACACACACGUGGGCUCGGGCCUCACCCUCGUGCACACACUUUCCGCAGAUGGACCCACACAAAUCUGUGUCUGCUGCAUCACAUCUGUUUUUCUUUUUUUUUUUUCCUUCCUUUUUCCCUGAAUAACCAGAAGCCGCUGCCUGCUUACUGUAGCUGGCUGACUGGACGCUUCAGGGCAAGUUUGACACGAAUCCUGUCUGAUGCCUGUUUUUGCACUCCGAUAAUUCAAUUAGGGGGAUGGCCCUUGCUCUGCUGCACACGCCGACCUGAAGCCGAGCCAGAACCCCGGGCCACUGGGUUAUAGUGAGAGGGGGGAUACAUUACACGGUGUUACCUGCACUUGCUGACAAGGAGAGACAAGGCAUGACCUGUGGAGCAUUUUAGCCAGCUCAGUGGCAAUAUGACCAGGCCAACUCCACAGGAUGGCUGCCCACACGCAGAACACAGAGCAGAGCAUAUGCCAACCAAAAAAAAAGAGAGUGAGAGAAGGAGAGUUGAGUUCUAGUUGUUCCUGUUUUAUGUCUAGAUGUGUUUUGUUCCGGAUUUCUAGAAAGAGGUGGACUCUGAUGGUACUAAUGCAUUGGGCAGCAAGUGUUUUUCUCUUCAUAUUAUUUGCCAGGAGGAUGCAGUCUUGCCAUAAUGUUCUCCAACUGGUAGCAGCAUUAACAGAAUGAAUGAGCGUUUGG
This is a non-coding RNA of Poecilia reticulata (guppy), 1063 nucleotides long. The record is from RefSeq and is a predicted model, not a curated record. NCBI's taxonomy places the organism in Eukaryota, Metazoa, Chordata, Actinopteri, Cyprinodontiformes, Poeciliidae.